GUUCAUGUAUCUUUGGGACCUGUCGGCUGUGACAGUCUCCCUUUCUAGCCAUGGAAGAGUAUGUUCUUGUUUAUUGGCAGAUUGACACUACGAUUGGUAUCAGAUUCUGACUGGCACAAGUAGCAUUC
This is a small nucleolar RNA of Echinops telfairi (small Madagascar hedgehog), 128 nucleotides long. The record is from Ensembl. Lineage: Eukaryota; Metazoa; Chordata; Mammalia; Afrosoricida; Tenrecidae.